GGGGAAUAUUGGACAAUGGGCGCAAGCCUGAUCCAGCCAUGCCGCGUGAGUGAUGAAGGCCUUAGGGUUGUAAAGCUCUUUUAGCGGGGAAGAUAAUGACGGUACCCGCAGAAAAAGCCCCGGCUAACUUCGUGCCAGCAGCCGCGGUAAUACGAAGGGGGCUAGCGUUGCUCGGAAUUACUGGGCGUAAAGCGCACGUAGGCGGACUCUUAAGUCGGUGGUGAAAUCCUGGAGCUCAACUCCAGAACUGCCUGCGAUACUGGGAGUCUUGAGGUCGGGAGAGGUGAGUGGAACUGCGAGUGUAGAGGUGAAAUUCGUAGAUAUUCGCAAGAACACCAGUGGCGAAGGCGGCUCACUGGCCCGAUACUGACGCUGAGGUGCGAAAGCGUGGGGAGCAAACA
This 401-nucleotide ribosomal RNA is filed under the name uncultured bacterium. RNAcentral's name for it is "bacterial SSU rRNA". It matches the Rfam family "Bacterial small subunit ribosomal RNA", at positions 356 to 774 of the family's 1533-position model. The record is from RNAcentral.